Molecule: long non-coding RNA, 1921 nt
Organism: Grammomys surdaster
Lineage: Eukaryota; Metazoa; Chordata; Mammalia; Rodentia; Muridae
Exons: 8
Source: RefSeq, a predicted model, not a curated record
GAAUAUUUAAGCAGUGUUGUCAUGACAUACACCAACACAAGUCACCACUGGAGGACCAACAGGGUUGGGACUCUGGGGCUUGGAGAGUUUGCACCUAGCCUGGCAAGGCUGCUCUGGAGGCAAGGUCCAUCUGCAGCCCUGGAUCUUCCCUAGAUGACAAAGUGUUUGCUGAGUGUUCUUGUGUGUUGUCUGUGGCUCUCCUUGCUGGUCAAAGCCACAUGAAAAUGCUGGGCCACAUCUGCUUAGGGAAACCUCAUCUAAGGAAAACAGAAGUUCUCUGCAGGAUGCAGCCUCCAGCUUCCCACUUGGUCACCUAAAAGCAAAAUUGACCUUUGACCCUUGACAAUGAAGUGAGUGUUGCUGGAGGUACCUGGGACAGGCAGAAGGAGGCAGGAUCCAAUGCUGUGGCCUCCCUGUGUAGGUCUUCUUCUCUUGCAGAGCAUCGAUGGAACUAUUGUGACAGGUGAUUCCAGGUUGUAUCAAAUUGACAAACCACAAGUGACAAGCCUUUACCAACUGAGCCACCCCUGCCUGUUUCUACUUUUUGACUGUUGGGUUCAUGGUGUGAAAUGAUAUUGUGGAUCAAGUAGAUGAUUUUUUAUUUUAAAUUAAGAGAUAUAUCAGUUACUCUUCUGUGACUGUGAUAACACCAUGAGCAACUUAUAAAAUGAAGAGCAACUUAUAAGAUGGCUUACAGUUCCAGAGGAAUAAGAGAUGUGGCAGAAAACAGCAGGUAGAGCAUCAACACAUACAAACUGCAUCUCAGCUCCCAAUUGAGGACAGUCCCCAGGGUCACAAAGCCAUGGCCAAGGAGAACAUUUAGUCUCUGACUCUUCUGGCACCAGCCAGAAGAUCCAACUGUCCCCAUGGAGCACAUGGCCUUCCUAAAGAACUCUCCUUGGAAUGGAAGGGAGUACCAGCUAUUAACCCCCAAACUGGACAGAGGUGUAACCCAAAUAACCAAUGGAGGAUCCAGAAGACCCACCAGUGCUAUGCCACCAUGGAGAGAGGCUAUCUUUAGUGUUACACUAAGGAUGUAGCACAGGGGUAGAACUUGCCUAUGGGAGGUGUUGGCUUCAGCAACCAAGACUACACAAAAAGUCUUCAGCAGAUCAGACUCCUGUAAGAUUCAUGCAGACACCAGAGGAAAGAGUAUACUCGAAGGUCUAUCAUCCUCCUGUCUCUGGAAAGCUGUGGGGUGAGGAUGCACAGCUCAGCUUGUUUUCAUGUUUGCUUCCGGCUGUAUAGCCUUUCACUGCUGGCCUUUUGCACCACCAGAAAGUGACAACCUUGACGAACUGCUUCCUCAGCAUCCUUGAAGAGCGGAUGAAGGACUCUGGCUCUCAGGCAGCUUGAGUUUGAGACCCCACCACCUUCCUAAGACCCUUGAGAGUGAGUGUGAAGACCACUGUGGAGUCUUACUCACAGAUGACAAAAGGCACCUAAAUGCAUAGAGUGGCCGCUCUCUGUUCAGGGCUGGCACAGGCAUGACAGUUAGCCUCUAGAGUGACCCCAAGAGAAGUCUUGAACACCUGCACAUCCCUGAAAUGUAUACACUUUGUAAUCAGGGGUCUAUUGUGGCUUUCUAGGCUCCAUUUUCUUCCUUUUCUAAUAGUAAGCAGAACAAUACCUUAUCUUUAAAAAGACUUUGAUUGAUUCAGUAUACAUGGAGAUAGCUUUAGCCUAUUGGCUUUUCUGUGCCAGACCUACAAGAAGAAUCUAUAUAUUAUUAACCCAUUUUAUAGAUAAAGGAGCUGUGGCACAGAUAUAUUAAUUUACUUGUACAAGAUCACGCAGCGAGGGAGACGGACAGAACCCAAGCUAGUUCCUUUGAGCCUCUGACCCUUGUAUCCUCUUUGCAAGUUUCUUCUACCUAAUCGAGAAUUGAACGUAAUCUUAAUUAAAGUUCCAAAGGACUAAA